This 147-nucleotide ribosomal RNA is filed under the name uncultured Bacteroidota bacterium. RNAcentral describes it as "uncultured Bacteroidetes bacterium partial 16S ribosomal RNA". It matches the Rfam family "Bacterial small subunit ribosomal RNA", at positions 274 to 420 of the family's 1533-position model. The record is from RNAcentral. Lineage: Bacteria; Pseudomonadati; Bacteroidota.
CUUCGAUAGGUAGGGGUCCUGAGAGGGAGAUCCCCCACACUGGUACUGAGACACGGACCAGACUCCUACGGGAGGCAGCAGUGAGGAAUAUUGGACAAUGGAGGCAACUCUGAUCCAGCCAUGCCGCGUGCAGGAAGACGGCCCUAC